CGGACGGGUGAGUAAUGUCUGGGAAACUGCCUGAUGGAGGGGGAUAACUACUGGAAACGGUAGCUAAUACCGCAUAACGUCGCAAGACCAAAGAGGGGGACCUUCGGGCCUCUUGCCAUCGGAUGUGCCCAGAUGGGAUUAGCUAGUAGGUGGGGUAACGGCUCACCUAGGCGACGAUCCCUAGCUGGUCUGAGAGGAUGACCAACCACACUGGAACUGAGACGCGGUCCAG
RNAcentral lists this ribosomal RNA (232 nucleotides) under uncultured bacterium. RNAcentral describes it as "partial 16S ribosomal RNA". It matches the Rfam family "Bacterial small subunit ribosomal RNA", at positions 99 to 334 of the family's 1533-position model. The record is from RNAcentral.